AAGUCUCAGUUCGGAUUGAAGGCUGAAAUUCGCCUUCAUGAAGCCGGAAUUGCUAGUAAUGGCAGGUCAGCAUACUGCCGUGAAUACGUUCCCGGGCCUUGUACACACCGCCCGUCACACCAUGAGAGUUGGGAAUACCCGAAGCCUGUGAGCUAACUUUUAGAGGCAGCAGUCGAAGGUAGAAUCAAUGAUUGGGGUGAAGUCGUAACAAGGUAGC
Molecule: ribosomal RNA, 217 nt
Filed under: uncultured bacterium
Lineage: Bacteria
Description: partial 16S ribosomal RNA
Rfam family: Bacterial small subunit ribosomal RNA
Source: RNAcentral